RNAcentral lists this ribosomal RNA (497 nucleotides) under uncultured bacterium. RNAcentral describes it as "partial 16S ribosomal RNA". It matches the Rfam family "Bacterial small subunit ribosomal RNA", at positions 28 to 507 of the family's 1533-position model. The record is from RNAcentral.
GAUGAACGCUGGCGGCGUGCCUAAUACAUGCAAGUCGAGCGAACAGAUGAGGAGCUUGCUCCUCUGACGUUAGCGGCGGACGGGUGAGUAACACGUGGAUAACCUACCCAUAAGACUGGGAUAACUUCGGGAAACCGGAGCUAAUACCGGAUAACAUAUUGAACCGCAUGGUUCAAUAGUGAAAGACGGUUUUGCUGUCACUUAUAGAUGGAUCCGCGCCGCAUUAGCUAGUUGGUAAGGUAACGGCUUACCAAGGCAACGAUGCGUAGCCGACCUGAGAGGGUGAUCGGCCACACUGGAACUGAGACACGGUCCAGACUCCUACGGGAGGCAGCAGUAGGGAAUCUUCCGCAAUGGGCGAAAGCCUGACGGAGCAACGCCGCGUGAGUGAUGAAGGUCUUCGGAUCGUAAAACUCUGUUAUUAGGGAAGAACAAAUGUGUAAGUAACUAUGCACAUCUUGACGGUACCUAAUCAGAAAGCCACGGCUAACUACGUG